RNAcentral lists this ribosomal RNA (248 nucleotides) under Klebsiella pneumoniae. RNAcentral describes it as "partial 23S ribosomal RNA". It matches the Rfam family "Bacterial large subunit ribosomal RNA", at positions 1141 to 1388 of the family's 2925-position model. The record is from RNAcentral. Lineage: Bacteria; Pseudomonadati; Pseudomonadota; Gammaproteobacteria; Enterobacterales; Enterobacteriaceae.
CUCACUGGUCGAGUCGGCCUGCGCGGAAGAUGUAACGGGGCUAAACCAUGCACCGAAGCUGCGGCAGCGACACUAUGUGUUGUUGGGUAGGGGAGCGUUCUGUAAGCCUGCGAAGGUGACCUGUGAGGGUUGCUGGAGGUAUCAGAAGUGCGAAUGCUGACAUAAGUAACGAUAAAGCGGGUGAAAAGCCCGCUCGCCGGAAGACCAAGGGUUCCUGUCCAACGUUAAUCGGGGCAGGGUGAGUCGAC